Molecule: ribosomal RNA, 429 nt
Filed under: Bacteroidota bacterium
Lineage: Bacteria; Pseudomonadati; Bacteroidota
Description: Bacteroidetes bacterium partial 16S ribosomal RNA
Rfam family: Bacterial small subunit ribosomal RNA
Source: RNAcentral
UAGGGAAUCUUCGGCAAUGGGGGGAACCCUGACCGAGCAACGCCGCGUGAGGGAAGAAGGUUUUCGGAUCGUAAAGCCCUGUUGUUAAGGAAGAACGAGUGUGAGAAUGGAAAGUUCAUACUGUGACGGUACUUAACCAGAAAGGGACGGCUAACUACGUGCCAGCAGCCGCGGUAAUACGCAGGUCCCGAGCGUUGUCCGGAUUUAUUGGGCGUAAAGCGAGCGCAGGCGGUUAGAUAAGUCUGAAGUUAAAGGCAGUGGCUCAACCAUUGUAGGCUUUGGAAACUGUUUAACUUGAGUGCAGAAGGGGAGAGUGGAAUUCCAUGUGUAGCGGUGAAAUGCGUAGAUAUAUGGAGGAACCCCGGUGGCGAAAGCGGCUCUCUGGUCUGUAAAUGACGAUGAGGCUAGAAAGCGUGGGGAGCGAACAGG